GAUGAAGAACGCAGCGAAAUGCGAUACGUAGUGUGAAUUGCAGAAUUCAGUGAAUCAUCGAAUCUUUGAACGCACAUUGCGCCCGCCAGUAUUCUGGCGGGCAUGCCUGUUCGAGCGUCAUUACAACCCUCAGGCCCCCGGGCCUGGCGUUGGGGAUCGGCGGAGCCCCCCGUGGGCACACGCCGUCCCCCAAAUACAGUGGCGGUCCCGCCGCAGCUUCCAUCGCGUAGUAGCUAACACCUCGCGACUGGAGAGCGGCGCGGCCACGCCGUAAAACACCCAACUCUUCUGAAGUUGACCUAGAAUCAGGUAGGAAUACCCGCUGAACUUAAGCAUAUCAAUAAGCGGAGGA
This 352-nucleotide unclassified non-coding RNA is filed under the name soil metagenome. RNAcentral's name for it is "partial contains 5.8S ribosomal RNA, internal transcribed spacer 2, and large subunit ribosomal RNA". The stretch from base 1 to 120 matches the Rfam family "5.8S ribosomal RNA", at positions 35 to 154 of the family's 154-position model. The record is from RNAcentral.